This 94-nucleotide ribosomal RNA is filed under the name Limosilactobacillus reuteri. The record is from RNAcentral. Lineage: Bacteria; Bacillati; Bacillota; Bacilli; Lactobacillales; Lactobacillaceae. RNAcentral also lists the same sequence under 3 other names.
UGUGGUGAUGAUGGCUUGAAGGAUACACCUGUACCCAUGCCGAACACAGAAGUUAAGCUUCAACACGCCGAAAGUAGUUGGGGGAUCGCUCCCU